Danio rerio (zebrafish) is the source of this 765-nucleotide non-coding RNA. Lineage: Eukaryota; Metazoa; Chordata; Actinopteri; Cypriniformes; Danionidae. The record is from RefSeq and is a predicted model, not a curated record.
GAAAAUCCUUAUAUGCUGUCCCAUAAAUGUGAUGCCAUGCCUCUACCUCUGCCUUCCACAUCCAGCUAAAACCAGUUUCUUCAACGCACCCUGUGAUCUUCAUAGAGUCCGCCGAUAUUUAUGGCGAGCUAACAAGACAAUCUGAUAAAAGCAGGAAAGCCGUCCAUAUGAAGGGUUGCCACAGCGGAACGAACCACCCUCUUAUCCAGCAUGUUUUACAUGCCCUUUCAGCCGCAACCCAGUACUGGGAAACACUCUCCUUCACACUCAUGGCCAAUUUAAAUCACCUAUAUUGCAUGUCUUUGACUAUGGAGCACCUGGAGGAAACCCACGCCAACACGAGGAGAACAUGCAAACUCUUCAACUGGUCCAGCCGGGACUCGAACCAGCGACCUUCCUGCUGUGAUGUGACAGUUCUAACCACUAAGGCACUGUACCACCCUCUUUUUUUUAAUGUCCAGUUAAUUGAUUUUAGAAACAUGCAAAUUCAGUCUUCUUCUAUAUGAAUGUGUGUCAGUAUUUAUUUUUGUAUUCAUUCAUUUUCUUUUUGGCUUAGUUCCUUCAUUAUUCAGGGGACGCCACAGCGGGAUGAACCGCCAACAUAUCCGACAUAUGUAUUACACAGCGGAUGCCCUUCCAGCUGCAACUCAUCACUGGGAAAUUAUUUGUUUGUUUAUUUAUUUAUUACAAUUUCAAAGAUUAGAAAUAUUUACAUGAAUCUGUCUAAAAAAUAAUUAAAUACUAAUUAAAUAUAGAUUACUUUAA